ACGAACGCUGGCGGCGUGCUUAACCCAUGCAAGUCGAACGGAAAGGCCCUGCUUUUGUGGGGUGCUCGGGUGGCGAACGGGUGAGUAACACGUGAGUAACCUGCCCUUGACUUUGGGAUAACUUCAGGAAACUGGGGCUAAUACCGGAUAGGAGCUCCUGCUGCAUGGUGGGGGUUGGAAAGUUUCGGCGGUUGGGGAUGGACUCGCGGCUUAUCAGCUUGUUGGUGGGGUAGUGGCUUACCAAGGCUUUGACGGGUAGCCGGCCUGAGAGGGUGACCGGCCACAUUGGGACUGCGAGACGGACCAGACUCCUACGGGAGGCAGCAGUGGGGAAUAUUGCACAAUGGGCGGAAGCCUGAUGCAGCAACGCCGCGUGCGGGAUGACGGCCUUCGGGGUGUAAACCGCUUUCGCCUGUGACGAGGCGUGAGUGACGGUAAUGGGUAAAGAAGCACCGGCUAACUACGUG
RNAcentral lists this ribosomal RNA (467 nucleotides) under uncultured bacterium. RNAcentral's name for it is "partial 16S ribosomal RNA". It matches the Rfam family "Bacterial small subunit ribosomal RNA", at positions 29 to 507 of the family's 1533-position model. The record is from RNAcentral.